GAUGAACGCUGGCGGCGUGCUUAACACAUGCAAGUCGAACGAUGAAACCCAGCUUGCUGGGUGGAUUAGUGGCGAACGGGUGAGUAACACGUGAGUAACCUGCCCUUAACUCUGGGAUAAGCCUGGGAAACUGGGUCUAAUACCGGAUAGGAGCGUCCACCGCAUGGUGGGUGCUGGAAAGAUUUAUCGGUUUUGGAUGGACUCGCGGCCUAUCAGCUUGUUGGUGAGGUAAUGGCUCACCAAGGCGACGACGGGUAGCCGGCCUGAGAGGGUGACCGGCCACACUGGGACUGAGACACGGCCCAGACUCCUACGGGAGGCAGCAGUGGGGAAUAUUGCACAAUGGGCGAAAGCCUGAUGCAGCGACGCCGCGUGAGGGAUGACGGCCUUCGGGUUGUAAACCUCUUUCAGUAGGGAAGAAGCGAAAGUGACGGUACCUGCAGAAGAAGCACCGGCUAACUACGUG
Molecule: ribosomal RNA, 466 nt
Filed under: uncultured bacterium
Lineage: Bacteria
Description: partial 16S ribosomal RNA
Rfam family: Bacterial small subunit ribosomal RNA
Source: RNAcentral